This 381-nucleotide ribosomal RNA is filed under the name uncultured bacterium. RNAcentral's name for it is "bacterial SSU rRNA". It matches the Rfam family "Bacterial small subunit ribosomal RNA", at positions 30 to 419 of the family's 1533-position model. The record is from RNAcentral.
AUUGAACGCUGGCGGAAUGCUUAACACAUGCAAGUCGAGCGGGCUGUAGCAAUACAGCUAGCGGCGGACGGGUGAGGAAUACAUAGGAAUCUGCCUCAGAGUGGGGGAUAGCCCGGGGAAACCCGGAUUAAUACCGCAUGAUGUCGUAAGACCAAAGCAGGGGACCGUAAGGCCUUGCGCUUUGAGAUGAGCCUAUGUCGGAUUAGCUAGUUGGCGGGGUAAAAGCCCACCAAGGCGACGAUCCGUAGCUGGUCUGAGAGGACGAUCAGCCACACCGGAACUGAGACACGGUCCGGACUCCUACGGGAGGCAGCAGUGGGGAAUAUUGGACAAUGGGCGCAAGCCUGAUCCAGCAAUUCCGCGUGUGUGAAGAAGGCCUGG